GUCCCUCCGUUUUAGCUGCCGCCGCGGCGGCCGCCGAGCGCGCUCUUUCCGCCCCCCUCUCGCGCGUGAGCGCGCCCUCGGCUCCUGGCGCGUCAACAUUCCGCGGCCCAGGCCUUGGGGCGCGUCUGAGGAGGGGGAUGUCUGUGGCCUCUCCGCCCACACUUCCUCCACCCACCGCCCGCAGCGCCCCAGAAAGACCUAGUACUCGUUGGGCUUCUGAAGGCCGAAGCCAGGCUCAGGCGGGGAUAGAACCCUGAAGGGCCUGCGCCAGCUCCAACUUAGGGCCCUGUGCGUCGUUGCGACUGCCGCUACCACCCCAUCACGCCGCACCCCCGCCCCAACUCCGCCCGGGUCUCUGAGGAGGCAAUAGGCCUUUCAUCUCCUGGGAAGGUCUCACCUUGGCCCUCAGACACCCGCCAAGAGGGGUCGGAAGGACAGAAUUAGCAUAGAGAAGAGGGGCUAGACCACUUUUCAGGCUCCGGCCCCAGGAAUCCUUGACAGGAAGCGUGGGGUUGCUGCCCAGCCUCCCACGCAGUGUAAUAUUUUGAAGCCGGGCCCCUUUGAGGGAAUGCGACUUCCUUAGGCCGAGGGGGAAAGGGCAGUGCCUGAUGGCUGAGAAGAAUCGCAGAGGACUAGAAAAGGUUUGAGUCUGGAAUUAUCUGCCACAGAGAAUUAGAGCUCAGAAAUAAGUUAUUACGAAACAGUUCAACUUCCCUGUUAACGACAACAACAACAACACGCUUAUUAAUUCCUAGCUGGAGCAUCAAGCUUAUGAAGAUUCCAAGUAAGACUUUAUUGUUGACUCUUGUUGAAGAGAACUCUACUUGGCUUCUUUCCUGGCUUUCCUAAAUUGUUCACAUACAAGAUAAACUACCAUCAUUCAGACUUACAGAAGUGAGAGGACAAGCUGAACCAAAUGUAAAAUGGUAGCAAUUUACAGAUAAUUCUGUAUCUUAA
This is a long non-coding RNA of Symphalangus syndactylus (siamang), 957 nucleotides long. RefSeq lists it as uncharacterized. Lineage: Eukaryota; Metazoa; Chordata; Mammalia; Primates; Hylobatidae. The record is from RefSeq and is a predicted model, not a curated record.